RNAcentral lists this long non-coding RNA (2273 nucleotides) under Canis lupus familiaris (dog). RNAcentral describes it as "adaptor related protein complex 5 subunit sigma 1 (ENSCAFG00000006159.6)". The record is from RNAcentral. Lineage: Eukaryota; Metazoa; Chordata; Mammalia; Carnivora; Canidae.
GAAGAAAUAAAACUUUAUUUGUUCACAGAUGACACGAUUGCCCAUGUAGAAAAUACGAAAGAUUCAGAAGAAAAACUGUUGGAUGAAUAAAUUAUCAUAGCAAGGUUGCAGGAUAUAAAAUUAAUAUUUAAAGGUCACUUUCCUCUAUAUCAAAAAUGAACAAAUAGAAUUGAAAAUAUAUUGUCAUUUACACAGCUACCAUUAACACCCCCAAAAUGAAAUUUAAGUAUAAAUAUAACAAAAUAUGCAUAAGAUUUAUAUGAAGAAAACCACAAAACCCUGAUGAAAGAAAUCAAAGGAGAAAAAAAAUAAGUGGAGAGAUAUUAUUCCCCGUUCACGGAUCAGAAGACUCAAAAUUGUCAAAAUGUCAGUUCUUCCCAACUUGAUAUAUUUGGUCUACAGAUUUAAUGUGAUCCCAAUCAAAUUCCCAACAAGAUGUUUUGUGGAUGUGACAAACUGAUUCUAAAGUAUAUACGUAGAGGCAAAAGAUCCAGAAUAGCCAACUCAUUAUUGAAGAACAAAGAGGACUGAUACUACCUGCCUUUAAGACUUACCACUAUAGGGGGGCACCUGGGUGGCUCAGCAGUUGAGUGUCUGCCUUCAGCCCAGGGCAUGAUCCCAAAGUCCUGGGAUCGAGUUCCACAUCGGGGUCCCUGCAUGGAGCCUGCUUCUCCCUCUGCCUGUGUCUGUUCUCUCUCUGUGUCUCUCAUGAAUAAAUAAUCUUUAAAAAGAAAAGAAAAAUUGGCAGAAAGGUUUCAGACCAGACAAGCUUGAGCCCUUCAAACAAAACCAGAGGAGCCUGUUCUUGUGAGAACAUGGGCACCCCACCAGGACCACUAACCUGGAAUGAAGGAAAGGGUAGCCCAAGAGAGCCAACUGUAUAGAGCACUGGUGUCCCACUAGGAUCUGUGGAACAUUUCCAGUGGCACGACUUGCCACACACAGAGUAAGGUCCCUUUAGGUCUUCAAAGUCAGAGGGUGAUUUGUGGCACCCUUUGAUGGAGAAGGUAGCCUUGUCCCAAUGGUGAUGGUGUAAAACACAGCAUGGCUGAUGGUGUUGGCUGCAGACUCGAGAAAGCAAAACCUCGAUCAUAGGUGCUGCCUCCUGAGUGGGUGUGAAUGGGUCCUUUUUGGGUGCCAAAUGGCACCUGAUACUUGGGAAGCAUGAUGGGGCACAAACCUAAACCAUGACCACCUAAGGAGGCUAGUUUUUCCUAUCCAAGAAAGCCAUGCUUCACAGGUAACAUUCAGAUCAUGAAAACUGAUGUUGAUGGAGGUUUUUUCCAAUGGAAUAAUUUUAAACCACCACUAGGAGCUGCUGAUUAAUGACUUUUAAUAGGAGUUUGGUGCCCCAUGCACAUCCCUUUGGGUUCGACCACUGUGCAGCGAGGCCCAGCUCCACACUGCCUUUUUCUGGAGGCAGAAAGAGCCAGGGAAUUUGCCCUAGGACCAACUCACAACCACUGACUGAAGGGAAUGGCAGACAAACAUCCACAGCCCCUCACCCCUCCAAUGUUCAUUUAGAGCCGACUAUUGUAUUACAGGUCCCUAGAGGUACAAAGCUCCCUACCUAUCCUUGAUAAUCCAAGUAUCCUUGAUACUUGUAUGGGCUGCCUCCCCUUCCAGUGCUUCCUGGGAUCACCUCCCAUGUAAACCACUUGUAUUUAAUCCUUACCUCAGGCUCUGCUUCUCAGAGAUCCAUGCCAACCCACCACAUUUUGGUAGAGAAAACAAGUACUGCUACCCAAAGGAGGCACAGGAGACAAGAGUGAUGUGAGGCACAAGAGGUCUCCGCUUCUUGGAGGGCAUCUCUGACCAUAAAGGCUCAGAUAUCCAACUCAGAGCCAUACAAAGAGGCAAGUACUCAUUGAAGCAAAUAUGCAUUAGCCAAACUUAAAUAAAUAGAGAGUGAAAUCACACAAUUGGUGCUUUUACUUCAAAAUAAGAAAGAACCUCACCCUGGCCAGAUCUCUUGCACCCACCUGAUGGUACCUUCUCUCCCUGAAGACGAGGGAAACCUAUGAUUAUCUCAAGGCUGCCUGGUUGGCAAGGGCUGGGCCCAAAAUGAGUUACAGAAUCUCCCUGCUGGGGCAGCCCCAGUGGCCCAGCAGUUUAGCACCACCUUCAGCCCAGGGCGUGAUCCUGGGGACCCGGGAUCGAGUCCCACAUCGGGCUCCCUGAGUGGGGCCUGCUUCUCCCUCUGCCUGUGUCUCUGCCUCUCUCUGUCUCUCUCAUGAAUAAAUAAAAUCUUAAAAAAAAAAAAAAAAAAAAAA